GUUUGAUCCUGGCUCAGGAUGAACGCUGGCGGUAUGCUUAACACAUGCAAGUCGAACGGACUCUUCGGAGUUAGUGGCGGACGGGUGAGUAACGCGUGAGAACUUGGCUUCAGGUCGGGGACAACAGUUGGAAACGACUGCUAAUACCGGAUGUGCCGAAAGGUGAAAGAUUUAUUGCCUGAAGAUGGGCUCGCGUCUGAUUAGCUAGUUGGUGGGGUAAGAGCCUACCAAGGCGACGAUCAGUAGCUGGUCUGAGAGGAUGACCAGCCACACUGGAACUGAGACACGGUCCAGACUCCUACGGGAGGCAGCAGUGGGGAAUUUUCCGCAAUGGGCGAAAGCCUGACGGAGCAAUACCGCGUGAGGGAGGAAGGCUCUUGGGUUGUAAACCUCUUUUCUCAGGGAAUAAAAAAGAAGGUACCUGAGGAAUAAGCAUCGGCUAACUCCGUGCCAGCAGCCGCGGUAAUACGGAGGAUGCAAGCGUUAUCCGGAAUGAUUGGGCGUAAAGCGUCCGCAGGUGGAAUUUCAAGUCUGCUGUCAAAGAAUUUGGCUUAACCAAAUAAAGGCAGUGGAAACUGAAAAACUAGAGUGCGUUCGGGGUAGAGGGAAUUCCUGGUGUAGCGGUGAAAUGCGUAGAGAUCAGGAAGAACACCGGUGGCGAAAGCGCUCUACUAGGCCGCAACUGACACUGAGGGACGAAAGCUAGGGGAGCGAAUGGGAUUAGAUACCCCAGUAGUCCUAGCCGUAAACGAUGGAUACUAGGCGUUGCUUGUAUCGACCCGAGCAGUGCCGUAGCUAACGCGUUAAAGUAUCCCGCCUGGGGAGUACGCACGCAAGUGUGAAACUCAAAGGAAUUGACGGGGGCCCGCACAAGCGGUGGAGUAUGUGGUUUAAUUCGAUGCAACGCGAAGAACCUUACCAGGGCUUGACAUGUCUGGAACCCGUGGGAAA
Molecule: ribosomal RNA, 951 nt
Filed under: uncultured bacterium
Lineage: Bacteria
Description: bacterial SSU rRNA
Rfam family: Bacterial small subunit ribosomal RNA
Source: RNAcentral